Molecule: ribosomal RNA, 484 nt
Filed under: uncultured bacterium
Lineage: Bacteria
Description: bacterial SSU rRNA
Rfam family: Bacterial small subunit ribosomal RNA
Source: RNAcentral
AGUAGUUUGAUCAUGGCUCGAGACGACGCUGGCGGCGUGCCUAACACAUGCAAGUCGAGCGAAUGAAGUUCCUUCGGGAACGGAUUUUAGCGGCGGACGGGUGAGUAACACGUGGGCAACCUACCUCAUAGAGGGGAAUAGCCUUCCGAAAGGGAGAUUAAUACCGCAUAAGAUUGUAGUACCGCAUGGUACAGCAAUUAAAGGAGCAAUCCGCUAUGAGAUGGGCCCGCGGCGCAUUAGCUAGUUGGUGAGGUAACGGCUCACCAAGGCGACGAUGCGUAGCCGACCUGAGAGGGUGAUCGGCCACAUUGGGACUGAGACACGGCCCAGACUCCUACGGGAGGCAGCAGGUGGGAAUAUUGCACAAUGGGGAAACCCUGAUGCAGCAACGCCGCGUGAGUGAUGACGGCCUUCGGGUUGUAAAGCUCUGUCUUCAGGGACGAUAAUGACGGUACCUGAGGAGGAAGCCACGGCUAACUACGUG